CAGUAGCCGCGGUAAUACGUAGGUGGCAAGCGUUGUCCGGAAUUAUUGGGCGUAAAGCGCGCGCAGGUGGUUUAAUAAGUCUGAUGUGAAAGCCCACGGCUCAACCGUGGAGGGUCAUUGGAAACUGUUAAACUUGAGUGCAGGAGAGAAAGGUGGAAUUCCUAGUGUAGCGGUGAAAUGCGUAGAGAUUAGGAGGAACACCAGUGGCGAAGGCGGCUUUUUGGCCUGUAACUGACACUGAGGCGCGAAAGCGCGGGGAGCAAACAGGAUUAGAUACCCGCGUAGUCCCUGUCUCUUAUAC
This 301-nucleotide ribosomal RNA is filed under the name uncultured bacterium. Its description in RNAcentral is "partial 16S ribosomal RNA". It matches the Rfam family "Bacterial small subunit ribosomal RNA", at positions 509 to 807 of the family's 1533-position model. The record is from RNAcentral.